AAAAAAAUACCUAUGUUGGAGGAUUUCUGCCUCUGUGAAAAUGCAUAUGCAGCCCCACACAGCCAACAAGGGAUGUCGACUUAAACAGCCAUGUGCCAUAAGACAUUUCCUUUUUGGAUUAGGAAUUCUCAAGGUAACAGCAAACUUUUACCCAGCUUUUAUUUGUCAAAAUGCUUGUUGAAAUUAAGUGUUGACCAGGUAAAUAGGCAAAUUGUACACUGGAUUGUCAAAGUACACCUUGCAGCAGCAGCUUGAGUAACUAUAAAAGAUAUAUAUUGAUAAUGUACAAUGAGAGAACGUCUAUGUGAUAGAACUUUUUUUUGCCACAGUUGUAUUUUAAGAGCAAUCAGAGGCAGUUGCUAGGCGGAACCAUAGACUGGGCGGAACAGAGUCAGGUGGUCAAUUGGCACCGUCACCGGUCAUGACCUUCGGGGAGGAGCAUAGAGAGGCGAAGAAACGAAAUGGGGAAACAGAUUAAAACCAAGGUUUGAACCGUCACCUCGGUUUGUCAUAAUGUGAAAAAACGUAAUUAGCGAAGAAGCCUGGAUGCCAAAACAAGCUUUGAAGCUGCUUUUUUGUCGAACACGAGUGGGACUGGACGCUGAAGACACAUGCGGCGCGAAGGUGAGGCUAAGGAGUGAACUAGCUAGCGUUAGCAUAUGCUUUAGCGGCGAGCGUUAGCAUUAGCCUUCUCGGUGCGUUCGAGAUCAACUGCGGCUGGCUGCGCCUGACUUGAUGGUCAAACAUAAACUGUCGCUGACUGCUGGGAAACGACUGCAGUCAAGUCGUACACACUUCCCGCAGCGAGACUGAGCAACGGCAUUUGACUUUUACCAGUUGUUCUCGUAGUUCAUAUAUCGAUCUCAUUGUGGAAACCCCGCACAGCUGUUAUGUGCUUUCUGUUUAAAAAUAUGAUGGUUCUCCUCAGCAUGUCAGACUGUUUAGUAAACCUUAUACACGCCUUUUACUCAGCCAACGAUAUGUUUUCUAAACAUUUAAGGCUUGAAAAAUAAAAGUAUGAAUCCAGGGCGAUGUGUUCGGGUGUAUGGUGUAAAAGUUACACAUGGAGAGCAACAUUUUAUUUUACAUAUCUGUUUUAUUAAGAGCUAUAAUGUUAAAUAUUUAUCUGUGUUUUCAUGGUUUAACUGUUGAUGAGGAAUAGGUAGUAGUAUAUUGAUAAUUUUCAUUUGUAUGUUUCUCUUUGAUUUCCUCCAGGUGUCAUCACUUCGUCCAAGACAUCAUCCACGAUUGCAGAGACGACGUCCAUGAUCGGAGAGACGUUGAGGAUGAGGGAGACACUGUCCACAAUCAGAGACGUUGUCAAAGAUGAGAGAGGCGUUGUCCAUGACUCACAGAGACCUGCGUAAGAAUCAGUGGUGGCGGGGUCCCCAAUUCGACAGGAUCGCCCGCAAUCAGAGAGACAUUGCCGAUGAUCACAGAGACACGGUCUAUGAUCUCAGAGACAUCGUCCAUAAUCUCAGAGACAGAGGACAAAGGCCUCCAGGUGUCACCACUUCGUCCACGACAUCGUCCACGAUCGCAGAGACAUGGUCCAUGAUCGGAGAGACAUUGUUGAGGAUGAGGGAGACAUCGUCCUCGAUCAGAGACAUUGUCCACGAUCGCUGAGACCUUGUCAAAGAUGAGAGAGACGUUGUCCAUGAUCAGAGACAUUGUCCCAUGCUUCGUAGAGACCUUGCGAUAGAAUCGGCGGAGACGGGGGUCACCGAUUUGACGGCAUUGCCCGCGAUCAUGGAGACAUUGUCGAUGAUCACAGAGACGCCGUCUAUGAUCUCAGAGACAUCGUCCACGAUCGCAAAGACAUUGGCCAUGAUCACAGAGACUUUGUCCAUAAUCUCAGAGACAUUGUCCGCGAUCACAGAGAUGUAGUCCACGAUCAUAGAGCAUCUUCGUACAAUGAAGAAGUUCUUUGAGACCAGGACGGAGGCGGAGGCCUGCAGGUGUCACCACUUCGUCCACGACAUCGUCCACGAUCGCAGAGACAUGGUCCAUGAUCGGAGAGACAUUGUUGAGGAUGAGGGAGACAUCGUCCUCGAUCAGAGACAUUGUCCACGAUCGCAGAGACCUUGUCAAAGAUGAGAGAGACGUUGUCCAUGAUCAGAGACAUUGUCCCAUGCUUCGUAGAGACCUUGCGAUAGAAUCGGCGGAGACGGGGGUCACCGAUUUGACGGCAUUGCCCGCGAUCAUGGAGAUAUUGUCGAUGAUCACAGAGACGCCGUCUAUGAUCUCAGAGACAUCGUCCACGAUCGUAAAGACAUUGGCCAUGAUCGCAGAGACUUUGUCCAUAAUCUCAGAGACAUUGUCCGCGAUCACAGAGACGUAGUCCACGAUCAUAGAGCAUCUUCGUACAAUGAAGAAGUUCUUUGAGACCAGGACGGAGGCCUGCAGGAGAAGACGACAGCAGCUGAGGACCUGACAUGGAUGAAAGAAAACAAAAGUGUUACGAAGCUGUUAAUUAGAUAAAAAACCUCCACCAUGUAAGUGUAGUAAGUGUAAACAGUAUUGGUUCCCUUCUCGGCCAUCUGUAAUGUAGUCUUUGGCACAUUUUCCACACAGUAAUAUGUCUUUAUUAAACACCUGUAAGAACAUUCAACUGCUUAUGAUACAACUAUUUAAUUAAUAAUUGUAUCACAAGCAGUCAGUGAUCAUAAAGAUGCUUAGUAGACAUGUUUAUCUUUGGAAAAUGUGCACAUAACUACAUUAACCCUAAACAGCUCUAACAAGUGUUUCCUUGUGGUCAAAUGUUGUCUGGAAUAAAAUCAUUAAAAGUGUCUUCCUAAACUUUUGAGUUGCAUUUCAUCAGAUAUUUUUAAGGAUUCUUAAUUCAUUUUUUAAAAGUUCCAUACUUACAUUUUAGUUUUAAAUAUGUUCUUUUUAUGUUUUAAAUAUAUUUUUAAAAGGGUUUAUACCUGUACUUUUUUAGACGUAUUGUUUGGGGUCGAGUACUUAUUGUUCAGACAUUUUUAAAGGUUUUAAAUAUAUAUAUUUUCAGUGGCUGAAUAUUUAAAGGUUUUAACCUUAUUUAUCAAUCCUGUUGUUUUGUUAAGGUUUUUUAAAUGUUUUAUCCUUAUUAUUUAGACCUAUUCCUUUAAGGUUUGAAAUGUAUUUUUAAAUGAUUUUAUACUUACUUUUUAGAGCUAUUAAUUUAAGAUUUUAGAUGUAUUUUUUUUAAAGGGUUUAGAUUUAUUUUAACACAUAUUUUUAGACUUAUUUUUUGCAGCUACAUUAUUGAAAAAUAUUAAUUAAUACCAAUUAACUGAUAAGAUAACAGAGAUUCACUGAUAAGUUAGGGCAGCUUUAAUUUGUUGCUAUUUGUUCCAGACAAGAGGUUUUAAAGUGUCAGACAGCAGCUGAGAUAAUGACAGUCAGACUGAAAAGAAUAAAC
This is a long non-coding RNA of Lates calcarifer (barramundi perch), 3403 nucleotides long. RefSeq lists it as uncharacterized. NCBI's taxonomy places the organism in Eukaryota, Metazoa, Chordata, Actinopteri, Centropomidae. The transcript is spliced from 4 exons. The record is from RefSeq and is a predicted model, not a curated record.